ACACAUGCACAUGCACGCACACGCUGCACGCUGAGCGCUGUCAUUACUCUACCUUUUUUGGAACUGUUUUGGUUCUUCUUGGUGGUGCUGCUGUCCGCCUUCUUAACAUUAGCACUCUUCACAGAUUUUUUACUUUUAGUGGUAGCUUUCUGUUUUGCUUUUUCUUUUUUAGAUGUCUUUUUUGGUGGUUGCUAGAAAGGAAAGGAAAGCAGUAUGAGUCACUAUUAUUCCUCCCCUCCUUUCUCACAGACAGCCUAGCUAUCUCAGCGUAAGCAUUACUAAUUAUCAACUGCUGAGAGGAACCCUAAUGCUAUUUCAAUGUAAGUCUAAGCAUAUGUUACCUAUAUUAUUCCAUUUAGUUGAGGGUGAAAGAUAACCCAAAGUAUAAAUACUAUUUACUAUUUCCUCCAGUCUUCCCCAGCUAGAAUCUAAGCUACAGGAAAACAAACUUUUAUUCCUUGUGAUCACUGUU
RNAcentral lists this long non-coding RNA (472 nucleotides) under Rattus norvegicus (Norway rat). RNAcentral's name for it is "long non-coding RNA NONRATT012367". Lineage: Eukaryota; Metazoa; Chordata; Mammalia; Rodentia; Muridae. The record is from RNAcentral.